AUUGAACGCUGGCGGCAUGCCUUACACACGCAAGUCGAACGGCAGCACGGGUGCUUGCACCUGGUGGCGAGUGGCGAACGGGUGAGUAAUACAUCGGAACAUGUCCUGUAGUGGGGGAUAGCCCGGCGAAAGCCGGAUUAAUACCGCAUACGAUCUACGGAUGAAAGCGGGGGACCUUCGGGCCUCGCGCUAUCGGGUUGGCCGAUGGCUGAUUAGCUAGUUGGUGGGGUAAAGGCCUACCAAGGCGACGAUCAGUAGCUGGUCUGAGAGGACGACCAGCCACACUGGGACUGAGACACGGCCCAGACUCCUACGGGAGGCAGCAGUGGGGAAUUUUGGACAAUGGGCGAAAGCCUGAUCCAGCAAUGCCGCGUGUGUGAAGAAGGCCUUCGGGUUGUAAAGCACUUUUGUCCGGAAAGAAAUCCUUGGCCCUAAUACGGUCGGGGGAUGACGGUACCGGAAGAAUAAGCACCGGCUAACUACGUG
Molecule: ribosomal RNA, 486 nt
Filed under: uncultured bacterium
Lineage: Bacteria
Description: partial 16S ribosomal RNA
Rfam family: Bacterial small subunit ribosomal RNA
Source: RNAcentral